UUAAACGAACAAACUUCAGCCAGUAAAGAGGCAAGCACUAACGUCUGGUUGAUGAUCUCUGACCUUUGAGCCAGAGCGUGAUUAUAACUGCCUGCUUGCUCCCCUUGGUGCAUGUGACGGCUGUAGAGGAUCGUUCCUGCCGGGCCUGGUCAGGGUGGCUCAGUGAUUGUCUGACAGACU
Molecule: small nucleolar RNA, 180 nt
Filed under: Sorghum bicolor (sorghum)
Lineage: Eukaryota; Viridiplantae; Streptophyta; Magnoliopsida; Poales; Poaceae
Description: snoRNA Plant_U3
Rfam family: Small nucleolar RNA U3 (bases 43-179)
About the family: Small nucleolar RNAs (snoRNAs) are involved in the processing and modification of rRNA in the nucleolus. There are two main classes of snoRNAs: the box C/D class, and the box H/ACA class. U3 snoRNA is a member of the box C/D class.
Source: RNAcentral